UACGUAGGGUGCAAGCGUUGUCCGGAAUUAUUGGGCGUAAAGAGCUCGUAGGCGGCUUGUCGCGUCAACUGUGAAAACCCGUGGCUCAACCAUGUGGUCUGCAGUCGAUACGGGCAGGCUAGAAUUCGGUAGGGGAGACUGGAAUUCCUGGUGUAGCGGUGGAAUGCGCAGAUAUCAGGAGGAACACCGGUGGCGAAGGCGGGUCUCUGGGCAGUAACUGACGCUGAGGAGCGAAAGCGUGGGGAGCGAACAGG
Molecule: ribosomal RNA, 254 nt
Filed under: uncultured bacterium
Lineage: Bacteria
Description: partial 16S ribosomal RNA
Rfam family: Bacterial small subunit ribosomal RNA
Source: RNAcentral